Molecule: long non-coding RNA, 526 nt
Filed under: Scophthalmus maximus (turbot)
Lineage: Eukaryota; Metazoa; Chordata; Actinopteri; Pleuronectiformes; Scophthalmidae
Description: lncRNA (ENSSMAG00000025087.1)
Source: RNAcentral
AGAGGAUUCUGCUAAUAGAUGCAAUGUGGUAACUGAGUGAGUGAGUGUGAGGCAGAGCAAGAGAGAGAGGCAGGCGGGGAGGGGGUGCUGGGUUGCUGACUUGGAGCUCUGCUGCGGCGAGCUUUGAGCUAGCGACUCUCUGAGCUCUCUGGCUGUGUGUGUGUCCGUAGGCUGCUGUGGUGCAGACUGUAGGCUAGCCACGUUAGCCUCCCUCUUCCCCACCCGUCAGCCGGCAGCUCCGCACUGCUUCAGCGGCAGUUAGGCUCUACAGUCUUUGAGUGUCUCUGUUUGUAGCUGAGGAUUUUCUUGCCCCUGAAAGGAUACUCUGUCUCCCUGACAAAGCAGAGAGAGGAAGAGGGGGACAGAGUAAGAGGAAGACGGGAGGAAGAAGAGCGACAGCAGGCCGGCAGUGACCUUCGAGGUGUGGUGGCAAAGCAGAGGAGGAGGAGGAGGAGGAGGAACCGGGAAUUGGUGUUAGAUCCAUCAGGUGCGUUUUCCUUCUUUGAGGAGAAGUGAUAUGGAAACC